AACCUCUCAGGGUCACACCUGGAGGGUUUCCAGUACUCUACCAGUCUCGGCUACAGGAGGGAGAGUCAAGCUGAGGCAUACCUAUUCCAUUUCUAGCCUGGCCAGUGGCUAGCGAGUGGAAGGCAAUCUGCUACCAGU
Tachyglossus aculeatus (Australian echidna) is the source of this 138-nucleotide small nucleolar RNA. NCBI's taxonomy places the organism in Eukaryota, Metazoa, Chordata, Mammalia, Monotremata, Tachyglossidae. The record is from RefSeq and is a predicted model, not a curated record.